This 1343-nucleotide ribosomal RNA is filed under the name uncultured bacterium. RNAcentral describes it as "16S ribosomal RNA". It matches the Rfam family "Bacterial small subunit ribosomal RNA", at positions 28 to 1378 of the family's 1533-position model. The record is from RNAcentral.
GACGAACGCUGGCGGCGUGCUUAACACAUGCAAGUCGAACGGAAAGGCCCUGCUUUUGUGGGGUGCUCGAGUGGCGAACGGGUGAGUAACACGUGAGUAACCUGCCCUUGACUUUGGGAUAACUUCAGGAAACUGGGGCUAAUACCGGAUAGGAGCUCCUGCUGCAUGGUGGGGGUUGGAAAGUUUCGGCGGUUGGGGAUGGACUCGCGGCUUAUCAGCUUGUUGGUGGGGUAGUGGCUUACCAAGGCUUUGACGGGUAGCCGGCCUGAGAGGGUGACCGGCCACAUUGGGACUGAGAUACGGCCCAGACUCCUACGGGAGGCAGCAGUGGGGAAUAUUGCACAAUGGGCGGAAGCCUGAUGCAGCAACGCCGCGUGCGGGAUGACGGCCUUCGGGUUGUAAACCGCUUUCGCCUGUGACGAAGCGUGAGUGACGGUAAUGGGUAAAGAAGCACCGGCUAACUACGUGCCAGCAGCCGCGGUGAUACGUAGGGUGCGAGCGUUGUCCGGAUUUAUUGGGCGUAAAGGGCUCGUAGGUGGUUGAUCGCGUCGGAAGUGUAAUCUUGGGGCUUAACCCUGAGCGUGCUUUCGAUACGGGUUGACUUGAGGAAGGUAGGGGAGAAUGGAAUUCCUGGUGGAGCGGUGGAAUGCGCAGACAUCAGGAGGAACACCAGUGGCGAAGGCGGUUCUCUGGGCCUUUCCUGACGCUGAGGAGCGAAAGCGUGGGGAGCGAACAGGCUUAGAUACCCUGGUAGUCCGCGCUGUAAACGGUGGGUACUAGGUGUGGGGUCCAUUCCACGGGUUCCGUGCCGUAGCUAACGCUUUAAGUACCCCGCCUGGGGAGUACGGCCGCAAGGCUAGAACUCAAAGGAAUUGACGGGGCCCCGCACAAGCGGCGGAGCAUGCGGAUUAAUUCGAUGCAACGCGUAGAACCUUACCUGGGUUUGACAUGGAUCGGGAGUGCUCAGAGAUGGGUGUGCCUCUUUUGGGGUCGGUUCACAGGUGGUGCAUGGCUGUCGUCAGCUCGUGUCGUGAGAUGUUGGGUUAAGUCCCGCAACGAGCGCAACCCUUGUUCACUGUUGCCAGCACGUUAUGGUGGGGACUCAGUGGAGACCGCCGGGGUCAACUCGGAGGAAGGUGGGGAUGACGUCAAGUCAUCAUGCCCCUUAUGUCCAGGGCUUCACGCAUGCUACAAUGGCUGGUACAGAGAGUGGCGAGCCUGUGAGGGUGAGCGAAUCUCGGAAAGCCGGUCUCAGUUCGGAUUGGGGUCUGCAACUCGACCUCAUGAAGUCGGAGUCGCUAGUAAUCGCAGAUCAGCAACGCUGCGGUGAAUACGUUCCCGGG